UGGGGAAUAUUGGACAAUGGGCGCAAGCCUGAUCCAGCAAUGCCGCGUGAGUGAUGAAGGCCUUAGGGUUGUAAAGCUCUUUCGGCGGGGACGAUGAUGACGGUACCCGCAGAAGAAGCCCCGGCUAACUUCGUGCCAGCAGCCGCGGUAAUACGAAGGGGGCAAGCGUUGUUCGGAAUUACUGGGCGUAAAGGGCGCGCAGGCGGCCAAUCAAGUCAGAUGUGAAAGCCCCGGGCUCAACCUGGGAAUAGCAUUUGGGACUGGUUGGCUAGAGAUCGGGAGAGGAGAGUGGAAUUCCCAGUGUAGAGGUGAAAUUCGUAGAUAUUGGGAAGAACACCGGUGGCGAAGGCGGCUCUCUGGACCGAUACUGACGCUGAGGCGCGAAAGCGUGGGGAGCAAACAGGAUUAGAUACCCCCGUAGUCC
Molecule: ribosomal RNA, 424 nt
Filed under: uncultured bacterium
Lineage: Bacteria
Description: bacterial SSU rRNA
Rfam family: Bacterial small subunit ribosomal RNA
Source: RNAcentral